AGUGAACGCUGGCGGCGUGCCUAAUACAUGCAAGUCGAACGGAGAUUAAAUAGCUUGCUAUUUAAUCUUAGUGGCGCACGGGUGAGUAAUAUAUAGUUAAUCUGCCCCAUAGUGGAGGACAACAGUUAGAAAUGACUGCUAAUACUCCAUACUCCUUCUUAUCAUAAGUUAAGUCGGGAAAGUUUUUCGCUAUGGGAUGAGACUAUAUCGUAUCAGCUAGUUGGUGAGGUAAUGGCUCACCAAGGCUAUGACGCGUAACUGGUCUGAGAGGAUGAUCAGUCACAUUGGAACUGAGACACGGUCCAAACUCCUACGGGAGGCAGCAGUAGGGAAUAUUGCGCAAUGGGGGAAACCCUGACGCAGCAACGCCGCGUGGAGGAUGACACUUUUCGGAGCGUAAACUCCUUUUGUUAGGGAAGAAUAAUGACGGUACCUAACGAAUAAGCACCGGCUAACUCCGUGCCAGCAGCCGCGGUAAUACGGAGGGUGCAAGCGUUACUCGGAAUCACUGGGCGUAAAGGACGCGUAGGCGGAUUAUCAAGUCUCUUGUGAAAUCUAGUGGCUUAACCACUAAACUGCUUGGGAAACUGAUAAUCUAGAGUAAGGGAGAGGCAGAUGGAAUUCUUGGUGUAGGGGUAAAAUCCGUAGAGAUCAAGAAGAAUACUUAUUGCGAAGGCGAUCUGCUAGAACUUAACUGACGCUAAUGCGUGAAAGCGUGGGGAGCACACAGG
RNAcentral lists this ribosomal RNA (731 nucleotides) under uncultured Campylobacter sp. RNAcentral's name for it is "bacterial SSU rRNA". It matches the Rfam family "Bacterial small subunit ribosomal RNA", at positions 28 to 776 of the family's 1533-position model. Lineage: Bacteria; Pseudomonadati; Campylobacterota; Epsilonproteobacteria; Campylobacterales; Campylobacteraceae. The record is from RNAcentral.